GGGAGCACGUCUCCUCUCAUGAGCCGGUCACCAGCACCCUCCGUGAGCCACGCGUCACACACAAAGCUGCACAGUCUGCGUGAGCAGGCAUGUGGGCAUGCCUCCCACGAACCGGGGCCGUGGUCCACACAGAGCAUGGUCCUCUUGCUGCUCCUGCAGUCACAGCCCGCGUGCCGUCAGGACAGGGUCGUUGCGAGCGGAGCUGAUGCUGUUCUUGGCCGACAAGCGGGAGAGAGUCAUGGCAGCAUUGAGAAUAGGCUGUGCCAGAUGGAGGCCCAACUGGAGGAGAAGAACAAGGAGCUGCACCUACCCCACUUGGGCAGUGCCCUGGACCUCAAGUUCCUGGUGGCAGACCGGCCGGCAGACUACUCAGGAGAUGGGGCAGUGCUGCGAUGCCUCCAGAAAGGCCAGCUGGCAGCGCUGCAUGAUGAGCCACCAGAAGCAAGGACCCCGCUGCCCCCUUCCCGUCCCUGGUGGGCACCUUGUGAGGCACCUGCCCCCUCACACUGUGCUCCUGAGGUUGAUCGAAGAAGAGAAGGAGAACACGGAGCAGAGGGCCGAGGAGACUGAGAGCAGGGAGGGCAGGGGGAGCUUAGGCAGCCUCCGUCGUUUUAAAUCAGUGAGCUCCCUCAACCUGCUUCCCGCCUCCUUGCAUACUGGCUCCUGUCUGCUCCUGCCCAAGCCCAAAAGGAGGUGGCACAGCCCGGCACAGGAGUGAGACCGGCUGGGCAUCAUGACUCUGGUAUGUUUCUGCCUCCUCCCUGCCGCAUCCCUCCCCCAGCAAACUGGUUUUUUUGUUUGUUUGUUUUUUCUCUUUAUACCCAGAAGAAAAUCAAGUACAUUUGCUACACUCAGAGGUUUAAAAGUUUUUAAACUGCCUAGUCUUUAAUCAUUCCACAAUGGCACAGCAAUAAAUUAGUCUUGAUAUUUGGACCA
Molecule: long non-coding RNA, 936 nt
Filed under: Bos indicus x Bos taurus (hybrid cattle)
Lineage: Eukaryota; Metazoa; Chordata; Mammalia; Artiodactyla; Bovidae
Description: lncRNA (ENSBIXG00000015099.1)
Source: RNAcentral